This 434-nucleotide ribosomal RNA is filed under the name Neoscytalidium dimidiatum. RNAcentral's name for it is "eukaryotic LSU rRNA". It matches the Rfam family "Eukaryotic large subunit ribosomal RNA", at positions 132 to 570 of the family's 3401-position model. RNAcentral also lists the same sequence under 1 other name. Lineage: Eukaryota; Fungi; Ascomycota; Dothideomycetes; Botryosphaeriales; Botryosphaeriaceae. The record is from RNAcentral.
GGGGGUCCGCGUUGUAAUUUGUAGAGGAUGAUUCGGCGAGGGCUCCCGCCUAAGUCCCCUGGAACGGGGCGUCAUAGAGGGUGAGAAUCCCGUAUGCGGUGGGCUGCCUUAGCCAUGUGAAUCUCCUUCGACGAGUCGAGUUGUUUGGGAAUGCAGCUCUAAAUGGGAGGUAAAUUUCUUCUAAAGCUAAAUACCGGCCAGAGACCGAUAGCGCACAAGUAGAGUGAUCGAAAGAUGAAAAGCACUUUGGAAAGAGAGUUAAAAAGUACGUGAAAUUGUUGAAAGGGAAGCGCUUGCAGCCAGACUUGUCCGCAGUUGCUCAGCCGGUCUCCUGACCGGCGCACUCUUCUGCGGCCAGGCCAGCAUCAGUUCGGGCGGUCGGAUAAAGGCCCCGGGAACGUAGCUCCUCUCGGGGAGUGUUAUAGCCCGGGGUG